Molecule: ribosomal RNA, 552 nt
Filed under: uncultured Tuber
Lineage: Eukaryota; Fungi; Ascomycota; Pezizomycetes; Pezizales; Tuberaceae
Description: eukaryotic LSU rRNA
Rfam family: 5.8S ribosomal RNA (bases 220-373)
Source: RNAcentral
GAUCAUUACAAAUGUCUGGGAUGUCCAAUCGGGCCCCCAAGCAAACACAUCCAUGUGUACACUCCCAUGUUGCUUCCCCAGAUCAGUGGCCACUGCUGCCAGCCCACCCCCUCAAUUGGGGUCCUGGGUUGAGGUGUCUGGGGAAGGGCCCAAUAACAAACCUUUGAACCAAUUAGUUGUCUGAGUAGGCCACCCGCCGCAAUCUUUAAAACAUGUUAAAACUUUCAACAACGGAUCUCUUGGCUCUCGCAUCGAUGAAGAACGCAGCGAAAUGCGAUAAGUAAUGUGAAUUGCAGAAUUCAGUGAAUCAUCGAAUCUUUGAACGCACAUUGCGCCCUUUGGUAUUCCUUAGGGCAUGCCUGUUCGAGCGUCACUAAAAACCCCCUCACAGAUAAUGUGGUAUUGGUAGAAGUGAACGGUACUUACAUUACCUUGUCUCACUCUGCUGAAAUGAAUAGGCCAGAGAAGUGGACCCAUGGUAAUUGACUCCAGGAGUGUUUUUCAAUGCUAAACUAGUCUUUACCCAAGUCAAAUUCUGAGCUACCGGACCCC